GUGCUGGAUAUUGCCUGCGUAUGUUCGGCCCCUCGUGUUCGGCCCGGUUCGACCCACUGAGUUGAAAAUCAGGACCGGAGUGAGAGUCCCAGCGGCUCCAGCCGGGACAUGUUGAAGCAAUCAGAGCCAUGCUGGUGGGACCCACUUCUCAUUCAUCCAAGUGAACUGCGCGUUAUGUUGAAGCAAUCAGAGCCAUGCUGUUGGGACCCACUUCUCAUUCACCCCAGUGUGCUGAGCGUUAUCUGCAGUGAGCCAGGCCUCCACUGACGGGGAGGUGAGCUGAGAUGGUUUCUGAGCGACGUACAAAACAACGCUGAUAGAAAAAAAAAAAAGAAGAAGAAAAU
Molecule: long non-coding RNA, 344 nt
Organism: Clupea harengus (Atlantic herring)
Lineage: Eukaryota; Metazoa; Chordata; Actinopteri; Clupeiformes; Clupeidae
Exons: 2
Source: RefSeq, a predicted model, not a curated record